CUGAUUGAAGAUCAAGCUGA
Molecule: microRNA, 20 nt
Filed under: Nematostella vectensis (starlet sea anemone)
Lineage: Eukaryota; Metazoa; Cnidaria; Anthozoa; Actiniaria; Edwardsiidae
Description: nve-miR-9414-3p
Source: miRBase by way of RNAcentral